GUGCAAAUAGUUAAACAUCCAGGAAAAUCCUUAUGUUCUCAAUUGAUUCUUGGGGCUAAAGGCUUAGGCAAAGCUAUUGUCGCAAUCCAGGAUGUUGGUCUUUCUCCUAAAGCAACUACUUACUCUCUGGCUAGAGUUGCAAAUGUUGACUGGAUUCAGAUAAUCGCAGAGGAGCACAUCAGCCUUAUGGAAGGAAGCACAAAGGAUUUUCAAAUGUUAGCUGGCACCCAAGAUGGAC
Setaria italica (foxtail millet) is the source of this 238-nucleotide long non-coding RNA. RefSeq lists it as uncharacterized. NCBI's taxonomy places the organism in Eukaryota, Viridiplantae, Streptophyta, Magnoliopsida, Poales, Poaceae. The record is from RefSeq and is a predicted model, not a curated record. The transcript has 3 exons.